GGCCUAACACCAUGCAAGUCCGAACCGAUGAUCUCCAGCUUGCUGGGGGGAUUAGUGGCGAACGGGUGAGUAACACGUGAGUAACCUGCCCUUGACUCUGGGAUAAGCCUGGGAAACUGGGUCUAAUACCGGAUAUGACUGCUCCGCGCAUGCGGUGGUGGUGGAAAGCUUUUGCGGUUUUGGAUGGACUCGCGGCCUAUCAGCUUGUUGGUGGGGUAAUGGCCUACCAAGGCGACGACGGGUAGCCGGCCUGAGAGGGUGACCGGCCACACUGGGACUGAGACACGGCCCAGACUCCUACGGGAGGCAGCAGUGGGGAAUAUUGCACAAUGGGCGAAAGCCUGAUGCAGCGACGCCGCGUGAGGGAUGACGGCCUUCGGGUUGUAAACCUCUUUCAGUAGGGAAGAAGCGUAAGUGACGGUACCUGCAGAAGAAGCGCCGGCUAACUACGUGCCAGCAGCCGCGGUAAUACGUAGGGCGCAAGCGUUAUCCGGAAUUAUUGGGCGUAAAGAGCUCGUAGGCGGUUUGUCGCGUCUGCUGUGAAAGACCGGGGCUCAACUCCGGUUCUGCAGUGGGUACGGGCAGACUAGAGUGAUGUAGGGGAGACUGGAAUUCCUGGUGUAGCGGUGAAAUGCGCAGAUAUCAGGAGGAACACCGAUGGCGAAGGCAGGUCUCUGGGCAUUAACUGACGCUGAGGAGCGAAAGCAUGGGGAGCGAACAGGAUUAGAUACCCUGGUAGUCCAUGCCGUAAACGUUGGGCACUAGGUGUGGGGGACAUUCCACGUUUUCCGCGCCGUAGCUAACGCAUUAAGUKCCCCGCCUGGGGAGUACGGCCGCAAGGCUAAAACUCAAAGGAAUUGACGGGGGCCCGCACAAGCGGCGGAGCAUGCGGAUUAAUUCGAUGCAACGCGAAGAACCUUACCAAGGCUUGACAUGAACUAGUAAAGCGCAGAAAUGUGUUCCCCUCUUGAGGCUGGUUUACAGGUGGUGCAUGUGUCGUCAGCUCGUGUCGUGAGAUGU
RNAcentral lists this ribosomal RNA (1020 nucleotides) under bacterium enrichment culture clone SaE5. RNAcentral's name for it is "bacterial SSU rRNA". It matches the Rfam family "Bacterial small subunit ribosomal RNA", at positions 45 to 1075 of the family's 1533-position model. The record is from RNAcentral.